ACAAGAAAAGGGGGCAAUUGCUUAUAUACCUUUGAAAAAUUUUCGACUUUUUGAUUUAUUCCUCUUAGAAGGCUAAUAUUAAAAAUAUUUUUUUUACGUUCCAGAUUAUUUCAAAUAUAUCCAUAGAGUUAAAUUCUGUUGGUGAACUGUCAGCAAUAGCCGUUAUCUAUGUGAAAUUACUAUUUUUUCCUUUCACAUAUACCCUUCCACUAUUACCAACUUUUCUUAUUUGCUCUUAAGUUAGGAGCAAAAAAGUAUUUUGAUUUCUGGUCUUUUCAAAUAUACCUUUCUUUUAUCACCAACUUUUUUUAUUUGUCCUCAAGUCAAGGACAAAAAAGGUGUUUUAAUUUUUUUUAAACUCUAGUAGACAUUUUAACUCACGUUUAACCUGAGAUAAUUUAAGGGUGAUAACUGUAGGGAUACUUUUGAAUAACGGAGGAACAUAUAAUGAGUAUAUAGGAAAUAAAAAAAGUUAAGAAAUAAUUAAAUAUUUUUAAAGUUUUGAGGAGUAUAUAGACAAUUAUUUUUUUUAAAAAAAUUAUUAUAUUUAGGACUUGUUUGGCCAAGCUGCUAGCGUAAGUGCGUCGACCCGCAGAAGCAUCAGUUUGGACCCCAGCUUUGUAGCACAUUUUCUUGCUUUCGUCCGGAGCUUGUGAUGAGCGAGAGAGAGGAGCCAAGCAACAUUAAUUACGUGCUACAUUUGGCUUCAAAAAUAUCUUUAGCUUAGCAGGUUUUACUAUAGUAAAAAGGUGAAAUAACUUCUUAUUAAGUUUGUCACCGCAACAGGCAUUUAAAAAAUUCUUAAUAAAAUAGGUGUAAGUGUUCC
This 826-nucleotide long non-coding RNA is filed under the name Ananas comosus (pineapple). RNAcentral describes it as "long non-coding RNA (ACOM_LNC037233)". The record is from RNAcentral. Lineage: Eukaryota; Viridiplantae; Streptophyta; Magnoliopsida; Poales; Bromeliaceae.